Esox lucius (northern pike) is the source of this 2546-nucleotide long non-coding RNA. NCBI's taxonomy places the organism in Eukaryota, Metazoa, Chordata, Actinopteri, Esociformes, Esocidae. The record is from Ensembl.
ACCUGAGCUCCAUUUCGUUUGUCAUAGGAAAAGGGUCUGACUACUCAUAACAAGAUCAACACAUUCCGCACUCACUUAUUGGCAGGCAUCACUCAGCCAACUAGGAUAGCUGUUGCUGCUUUAGUUCAACGCUAGUGUUCCUUCUAAACUAAUAACUAAGCUCAGAGCACUAGACUGUCUGAUGAGCAGACCGCAGGCUGUGAGAAUUUGCAACAACACCUACUCCUUCCCUACUCCAAAGCCUUCUGCUUUGCUCCCAGUUCCCCACUGUGUAGCUCCGCACGACACCAACUCUAUCAUGAAGUUUGCUGAUGACACCAAGUUUGUAGGCCUUACAAUGAUGAGUAAGUAAUACAGGAAAUUUAAAAAAAACUGCCACUGUGGUGCAACAACCUCUCGCUCAACAGCAGCAACACAAAGGAGAUGGUUGUUUUCUUCGGGAAUCAGAGGCGGGAACACGCUCCGAUUCAUAUCAAUGGAGCUAUUAAAGGGUGUCAGCAUUUUUAAACGCGUCAGCUUUUACAAGUUGUCUAGAUUGCGCAACAGCGGCUCUUCUCAACCAAAGAAUCUCAGCAUGGGUCCCUUACCUAUCGCUUUCACCAUCCCAAGAACUCAGCCUGCCUGCAGGACGGACGGCACCGGAACUUCACACCUGACAGCAAGACCAGGUAGUCAAUCAUUUAUACUAUUAUUUGUAUUGUUAUUUAUACUGUGUUCUGUUUUCAUUUGUAUGGAUGUUGUUGAUCAUUUGGAUUAAUUUUUUUGUAGCUUUGUCGACUAACAUUGCAUGCUAGUUUUGUCUUCUGUGGUUCGUCUCAUGUAUCCUGUGCAUACGACCAGUAGAAACAUACAAAUCUAAAUUUAACUUCCAUCUGCACGGUUACACAUCACCAGUUUUUACGGCAGUAACAUUUCCUGUGACAGAUUCUUAUAUGCAGAGCAACUUACAGUACUGACAACAGUGAUGCUUACAGUGAAUAAGAGCUUUUUCAAAAGUAAAAUAUUAAUUUUAAUGAGACAAAAUCCUUCUGCAAAAAAAUGAAAGAAUACUUGAACCAAGCAGCAAUAACAACAUAAAUCUGCUGUUAUUGCUUGUGAGGGUUUGCUUUAUAACAAGACAUGGUUCAGUCUAAAUAAGACAACAACAAAUCUUAACAAGCCUGAUAUUCUUGUUUUGGGACUUAUAAUGUUGUAUUGUCUUUUUCAAAGAGUUAAAUUGGACUUGCUUAUAAUAAGCAAACUGGUAAACAAAGACACUGUACAAAAACGUAUGCAGCCACUAAUGUUUCUGCUGAACAACUCACCUUUUGUAUUCAUGUAUUUGUGUGUUUAUAUACACUCAACAAAAUUAUAAACGCAACACUUUUUGUUUUUGCCCCCAUUUAUCAUGGGCUGAAUUCAAAGAUCUAAGACAUUCUCUAAGUACACAAAAGGCCUAUUUCUCUCAAAUAUUGUUCACAAAUCUGUCUAAAUCUGUGUUAGUGAGCACUUCUCCUUAGCCGAGAUAAUCCAUCCACCUCACAGGUGUGGCGUAUCAAGAUGCUGAUUAGACGGCAUGAUUAUUGCACAGGUGUGCCUUAGGCUGGCCACAAUAAAAGGCCACUCUAAAAGCAAAUUUGAAGCAAAUUUCAGUAGUCUCCAAUUGCACAUUUUUGAGCUUUGUUUGUACCCCAGGAGAGGGGUGGGGCCACUGUGAAAUCAUCAACCUACCAGGUUCCAAUGCUCGUUUAUAAAUGCAGAGAUUUCUGUGGUCUGAAGUCGGGGCAAAGACGCAUCCUUUGACUGCGAGAGAGCAACCGAUUCACAAUAAUGUGAAUCAUGUCUUUAAUAAUGUCUUGUUGUGAAAAAUGAAUCUAUGGGUUAAGAACCACUCAAGUUAAACGUUAUUUCACCCAAAUAUGAAACUAGGUCAAACUAGUCCUUUUAAGAUAAUGCAAGAUAGAAAGAAAUGUAGCUGUUUUCACAUUCCUGUUUUCACUCACUUAAAGGGAUAGUUGGUCCAAAAAUCAUAUUUCGGUUACAGUUCCCUUACCCCGAGUUCAUCCUUCUGGCAAAUAGUCAUUUAUUAAAACAAUCCAUUAUUCAUCUCUGUCUCAGUCAUUAAUUAGCGUUAUUAGCAUCGUACAAAUUCAUGAGUGGAAACCGUACGUCCCCCUAUCGCAAAGCUGCAUUGCAAGCGGAAAACUACUCUAUAACAAAAUCCAACAUGAGUAGCAAAUUAAUGUAUGACCGUUUUUAAUGUUCGAACAUGUUUCCUGUGAAUGUUACAGCAUUUGUCAACUAAUUUGUGACUUGUAUUACAUUUGUGAGUGGCCUUACAUAUUUGUGAUUUGCUAAUCAUCCUUUGUUUUUGGAUUUUGACAUAGCUGUGAAAAUAUCCAUAUAUUUCUUGACAGGGAUUUUUAUUUGACAGUUGCAUUAUGUAUUUGUGAUUCGCUGGGUGUAUUUGUGACUCACUACUAACAAGUUAACAACAAUUUGAUAGAAAUGUAGCCCCAUAGGGUCAAGCUCCAUAGACCUCUAUAUGAGUGACUGUUCAACACCCC